UGAAACAAAGAGAAGAGGGAGAGGAGGCAUGGACAAAGGAAGAGGAUUUCAGAAAAUUAGAUUUUCAUUCACUUAUUAUGAACCCUAAAAAGAGGCUCUUAAAUAGAACCCUUUCUUUAAGUUCAAAUCCAAAUCCAAUCAGGAUUAAAUGGCUGGUUAUUAUCACAUAAUAACUCCUUUCAUUUAAUCUAAUUUUCUUCCUAAAAAAAUCAAACCCU
This 218-nucleotide long non-coding RNA is filed under the name Elaeis guineensis (African oil palm). RNAcentral describes it as "long non-coding RNA (EGUI_LNC010210)". The record is from RNAcentral. Lineage: Eukaryota; Viridiplantae; Streptophyta; Magnoliopsida; Arecales; Arecaceae.